GAUGAACGCUGGCGGCGUGCUUAACACAUGCAAGUCGAACGAAGCACCUUGAUUUGAUUCUUCGGAUGAAGAUCUUGGUGACUGAGUGGCGGACGGGUGAGUAACGCGUGGGUAACCUGCCUCAUACAGGGGGAUAACAGUUAGAAAUGACUGCUAAUACCGCAUAAGACCACAGUACCGCAUGGUACAGGGGUAAAAACUCCGGUGGUAUGAGAUGGACCCGCGUCUGAUUAGGUAGUUGGUGGGGUAACGGCCUACCAAGCCGACGAUCAGUAGCCGACCUGAGAGGGUGACCGGCCACAUUGGGACUGAGACACGGCCCAAACUCCUACGGGAGGCAGCAGUGGGGAAUAUUGCACAAUGGGGGAAACCCUGAUGCAGCGACGCCGCGUGAGCGAUGAAGUAUUUCGGUAUGUAAAGCUCUAUCGACAGGGAAGAAAAUGACGGUACCUGACUAAGAAGCACCGGCUAAAUACGUGCCAGCCGCCGCCGUAA
Molecule: ribosomal RNA, 495 nt
Filed under: uncultured bacterium
Lineage: Bacteria
Description: partial 16S ribosomal RNA
Rfam family: Bacterial small subunit ribosomal RNA
Source: RNAcentral